CUGGAAGUCUGAAACUGUGAUGGAAAUAAAUAUGGGCGAUGAUAUAUUCUCUGAGGGAUUUUCUGAACAUUUGCAUUUAGCGCACAUAAAAGAGGUUGUUGAUCACGACUAGUUAAGUGCCUUUGCUGUCAUCGUGUAUGCUAGGUAUCUCUAUGACAAGCUUAUUUGUCCUCGUGGAUUAACAUACAAGAUAUCAUUUUUAUCCCCACAUGUAUCAUUUGAUGAUCUUCAAGGAAAAGAUAUAGCAAGGCUAUUGAUGAAAACUAAGGUGUUGAAGGAUGAAAAGAUAAUUCUUGCACCUUAUAAUAUUGGGAUUCGUGGGUUUUGUUUGUCAUCAAUCCCAAUGCUGAGGUUAUAUAUUUUUUGGAUCCGCUCGGUGGCGAACCUUCAGAUCAUGGAAGUAUAAAAACAAAGUUUGAAAAUGCAAUUCAAAUCUACCAUGCCAGGUGUGAAAAUAAAAUCUCCUAGUCAAAGAAAAAUAAAAUCAAAUGGAAUAA
This is a long non-coding RNA of Trifolium pratense (red clover), 497 nucleotides long. RefSeq lists it as uncharacterized. The transcript has 4 exons. The record is from RefSeq and is a predicted model, not a curated record. Lineage: Eukaryota; Viridiplantae; Streptophyta; Magnoliopsida; Fabales; Fabaceae.